UUAGGAAGCGCCUGCAGCUGUUUCAUAAGCGGCUGCAGCCGUAAAUGUGCAGGCGAAAGUUAAAUAAACGCCACAUGCAAAUCACUGCCCACAAUUUCCCUAGCUCCUCCUGCAGUUAUCUGGGCUAGUGUGAUUUGAUUCUUCCCUGUAUUUUCAAGUACCAGCUCCUCCCCACUGUAGAAGCGGAAGAUUUCAAAACAAGUUUAGCCCAGCACACAGAAGUUUGAAGGAUGAGAAGAUGGCAAGAAGGAACUUCCUAAGACAGUGUAAGCAGACACUAAAUGACUGCACUCAGCUUUUGCUGUCGGAUAACCCUGGACACGACGACCUUCAGUCCAUGUUGACAAAGGCUGGAAACAAUGCAGCGAAGCCUAGAGUGGGCAAAGGGGUACGCUCUUAAAUGUUGCUUCAGCAGACGGCCUGAUAGCUGAAGUGUCCGAGCUCAUGCAGGAGAGUCGCACCCAUGGUCGGCAUGCACAACCAGCCAGUUCCGGUUACCAGGCUCCAUUGACUUGGAGUGGAGCUAGAGGUGCUCCUCAUUAUCACAUCACCGGAGAGCAACUGAGGGGUCUGAUGACAGAUGGCAGAUAUUCUUCACGUGUUCCAUUCUACACUCAAACCACA
This is a long non-coding RNA of Osmerus eperlanus (European smelt), 624 nucleotides long. RefSeq lists it as uncharacterized. The transcript is spliced from 3 exons. The record is from RefSeq and is a predicted model, not a curated record. Lineage: Eukaryota; Metazoa; Chordata; Actinopteri; Osmeriformes; Osmeridae.